GAUGAACGCUGGCGGCGUGCUUAACACAUGCAAGUCGAACGGUGAAGGCGGAGCUUGCUCUGCUGGAUCAGUGGCGAACGGGUGAGUAACACGUGAGCAAUCUGCCCCUGACUCUGGGAUAAGCGCUGGAAACGGCGUCUAAUACUGGAUACGAGCUGCGAAGGCAUCUUCAGCAGCUGGAAAGAAUUUCGGUCAGGGAUGAGCUCGCGGCCUAUCAGCUUGUUGGUGAGGUAAUGGCUCACCAAGGCGUCGACGGGUAGCCGGCCUGAGAGGGUGACCGGCCACACUGGGACUGAGACACGGCCCAGACUCCUACGGGAGGCAGCAGUGGGGAAUAUUGCACAAUGGGCGAAAGCCUGAUGCAGCAACGCCGCGUGAGGGACGACGGCCUUCGGGUUGUAAACCGCUUUUAGCAGGGAAGAAGCGAAAGUGACGGUACCUGCAGAAAAAGCGCCGGCUAACUACGUG
RNAcentral lists this ribosomal RNA (468 nucleotides) under uncultured bacterium. Its description in RNAcentral is "partial 16S ribosomal RNA". It matches the Rfam family "Bacterial small subunit ribosomal RNA", at positions 28 to 507 of the family's 1533-position model. The record is from RNAcentral.